RNAcentral lists this ribosomal RNA (557 nucleotides) under Anthracocentrus rugiceps. RNAcentral describes it as "partial 16S ribosomal RNA". Lineage: Eukaryota; Metazoa; Arthropoda; Insecta; Coleoptera; Cerambycidae. The record is from RNAcentral.
UAAAUAAUUAUUAAAUAUUAUUGAUUUUCCCGAAUUUAGAAGAGCUACUUUGCUAGGUUGUUGAUGUGGCAUAAUCAUUGGUAAUAAAAAAAGUUGAAAUGAAAUGUUAUUCGUUUCUAAAUAUAUCUGGUUUUCCAAGAAACAAGUUUAAUUUGGUUGGUUUUCUAAUUUUAAAUCUAAUUUUUGAUUUGAUGUUUGGGAUCAUCUUAUGGCUUGGGGGAUGAGCUCUAAGUUUGAUUCUUAAAAGAUUGAAUUUUUGAUACUAAAGUUGAUAGGAUUGGGAGUUUCUAUUCUAAGAGGGAGUUAUAUCCGGUUUUAGUUUUUGUAUUAUUUUUAUUGUCUUUAAGUUUUUUAUUGGAAUAAUUGCAAUAAUGUAAAUUGCGGGGUAAUUAUGAUUAAAUUAGUAUAUUUUGAUUGUAUUACAAUUGGACGGUUUGUUAGAUUGAAUAAAGGAACUCGGCAAAAUAACUUCCCGCCUGUUUAUUAAAAACAUGGCCUUUUGAUUAUAAUUUAAGGUCUCGCCUGCCCACUGAGGUUUUAAAUGGCCGCGGUACUCU